Molecule: RNA transcript, 3580 nt
Organism: Daucus carota subsp. sativus
Lineage: Eukaryota; Viridiplantae; Streptophyta; Magnoliopsida; Apiales; Apiaceae
Gene name: ABC transporter I family member 17
Exons: 7
Source: RefSeq, a predicted model, not a curated record
CAACUUCACUCUAAUUACAUUUCAUGCCACUGCUUCUGCUAUCUUCUCCCGCUGACACGUAACUCACGCACGUGCCUUUCAUUUUUGAGUGUACUGCCUUUACAUCUCCUCAAAGCUUGCCCAGCACACUGGAUCCGAACUCAAACCAAGUUUUCUUUUGAAGAAAACCCAUUGCCUGCUGCUGCUGUCCGUCAUUACUUUUAAAUUUUUGAACAAUAGAUUUUUAAAUUUCAAAUUUCACGCACCAAUAAUACAUACACCUUUCACUCUUUCAGUGUUCACUCUUCGGGCUUCUCGCACAAGAUGUGCACAUUAUUCAAUGCCCGAUUUCUGAUUGCACUGAUUUUGUUUAAGAUGUGUGAAUUUGUUGAAAUCAUACACCAGGGUCAUCAUUUAUGGAUUCUUCUUAUUAUUUUAGUUGCAGCUAAACUUUGUCCACAAACUGUUUGAUGGUUUGUGCAAAAGAAAUGGUUCGAUAAAUUUAUUAAUUAUUUAAUUGUAGUUGGUUAAGAUUUUUUGUGCAGUAGUCUUGCUUGAAACUUUGUUUGCUGAAAGUAUGCAAAUAUUUUAAUCAUCUUAACAGGCACGGUUGUUGAUAAUAUACAAUAUGGACCACAAUUGAGAGGAAAGAAGCUUAGUGACAGCGAGGUACAUAAGAUGCUUAAGCUUGCUGACCUUGAGACCUUGGCUAAUGAACCAGAGGUUUUGUUGUUGGAUGAGCCCACAAGUGCAUUGGAUCCGAUAUCAACACCGAACAUAGAGGAUGUUUUAGUGAAGCUGAAGACAAACCAGGAAAUGACUAUUAUUAUGGUUUCUCAUAGCAUCAAACAGAUCCAGAGAGUUGUGGAUGUCAAAUGGAAUGGACUACAUUGGAGUAUUAUCUCUUUCACUGCUAGAGUAGUCCUAAAACACGUUAUAGGAUUUUAUGAUUUGAAUGUUUCUUGAAAAUAUUUCUCAGGAUGUGGAGACAAAGAAAUACUUAUAACAGGACGAUGACAUAGGUAUUUUUUAUAUAUCGAUGGCUUUAAUUCUCUACGUAUUUCUGGAAUUUUUAAGUGUAUGUUGUUAGUGGUUUGACGUUUUCUUGAUUUGAGAGUGUUCUACUAUGCAAGACCCUGUUUUUUCAGAUUCAUUAGACAAUGAUUAUUUAGGUGGUAUGUUUUUGUUCAAAUUUUUUAUUUUCUGGAUUGCCAUGCAUACUUGCUAUAUCAGAGCAUUACAAAGAUUUAAUGUUUAACUCUAUCAGGUUAUUCCAGUACUGAUGAUGAUGAAGACUAUAGUCCUGUAAUAGCGGUCAGCACACUGUAUACUUUUGAAUUUAUUACUCAGCAUACUUAAUCUUUAAGACUUCCUUCAUUAGUGCAAUUUCACUAACAUUUUAACUUCUCACACUCCAAAGACCAGAGCAAAUCGACUAUGUUAAAAGUCAUACCUAAGGAAUGGACAUCUUUUAUAUAUACUCAUUAACAUAUUUACAUUCUAUAGUAACUUUAGACAGUUUCUGCAUCUUAUUGAAUGGUACAGUUCAUUGUUAUUAUUAUAGCCAUCUUUGUUACUGGUAAGUAACUUUAUGAGCUUCAUGCUGAGAAUGAAGGUUGUAAUAAAAUAGUAGGGUAAAACAUUGUGCAUUGCAUUCUGUGUUGCUAAGGAAAUUAGUUUUGACAGCUUCACAUAUAGAUUAAUUGGUAUUGCUGCAAAACUUUUGUCGUCAUGAACUAGGAUGCUGCUGAGAUUCAUGAGUACUGAUGGACAAUUCUCAGAGGUUGGUGAAGCGAGAACAAAAAUCCAGUGUGCAAAAAUUGGACUUAAAUAUAUCUACAAGGCAUCUAAUAUUAACGUGAACCAAGUAGAGAAGCCAUGCUCUCCGGCACAAUGUGCCAUCCAAAAUCGUUGUAAUAUUGUUGUACCAGGUCUUAAACACUCACAUAUAUAGUUUUCACCAUUUUUGCUGAGACUGUAACCCAAGAAAUUUAAAGAAGUUGUAGAUUUUUUCAAGCUAGGACCCAGCGUUAUUUUUUGACAAUUAACUGUUUGAUUUAAUAUUUGAAAUAAUAUUACGUUGUAAUCUAUGUAUAUAAUAAAUACUGCUGCCUCUUCUGCACAGUACUGUUAUGGUGCUUAACUUUCACCCUUCAGCCUUCUUAUAAUUACAACUCCUGCCAUUCCACCUGAUACACUCCGCUGUCGACACGUAGCUUGAGCACGUGGGCCUCCAAUUUUGCUGCCAGCUCACAGCAGGUAACACAGAUUGUAUAACCGAAGCCAACAGAAGAUAGUAAAAAAGGUAACACAUAUUGAAGGAAAUUAUCAAAUAUAAAGGCUUUCAAGUAGUCCUGGCUGAAAUUUCAGCUCUGCUACUUACUCAUCCUACAAUUUCAGAUGCUGCAGUUGUUCCCAUGAUCGAUGAGAAAGCUGGAGAGGUGCCUGUAGCGUUUGUUAUGAGAUUAAAUGGUUUCACCACCACUGAGGAAGAAAUCAAGCAAUUCGUCUCAAAAUAGGUGAGAAUCAUCAACACUUCUAUUUUUCAGAGGAUGAAACAAGCUGUUUUUUUCCUUUUCCUUUUCCUUUUUUUUUUAAUUUUAGAUUAUCUCCUGGAGGUUAUUCCACAUUGAAUAUUUUUGGUUAAUGAUUUCAUCUGAUUCUAAGCUAAGUUUGUCGACUUCGGUCUGGCAAAGGAAAGAAAUGGAGGCUGCUAUCUAAGGUGAUAAUAUCUUACCUCUAAGUAAUGGUUGUAAAUGUAUUAUCUUUUCUUUGAGUACUUUGUGGAAGGCUGUCAGGCUUGCGAAUUUGUAAGCCAGACUACCAGAGUCCAAAUUCUCUAUUCUGCUAACCAAGUAGUUUGCUGUUGAUGUGAUAUGGAUUCCUUAAAAGUACGAGAAAACCCAUAAUUGUACUUUGGACUAUUCUGAAAAUGAAAUGCUUGAAACUGGAAUGGAAAUAAUGCCUAUGCGGAAAGUAUGUUCCAACAAACUAAUUGACGACUGAGGAAACUAGAGUAAAAAAAUAUAAUAAAAGCAGGGAAGUGGAAGAGAUUGCCAUGUGGCAGAAGUUGUAGAUUGCUUGAAUAUUACUACUUGCCCUUUUGCAGGUUCUCUACAAAGUCUAUGCUAUCCGGAAAGAAUGUUGUAGAAGCUAAUAGAUUUGUCAAAGAACCAAGAAGCUUGAGUUUGAAACCUCCAAGCACAGGCCUGUAUGUGUCUCCCUGAUUUUCUUGGACUUAUGCAUUGUCUUUUAGUUUUCAUAUAAACUACUGUCUCGAAGGUUGGCGGAAACCAGUCAAAGAGUCACCAUGUUAGUUUCUCAGAAUACUCAACUCAGCAAGGCUCUCAUAGCAAAAGAAAGGUAAUUAAAGAUUUACAAGAAUGCAGAGCUUGGUCAGAUGCAAAUUCCAGCACUCUAAUGACAAAAUUAGAGUGUACAGAGAAAGAGAAUGCUAUAUCUCCCGAUAUUGUAUUAAAUCUAUAGAGAAACAUCUUCCUGAUACAUAGUUGUGAAAUAAAGAGAGACAUAGCAGGACAAUGUUCGUAGCAAGCCUUUUAACCAUGAAUAUGAUACUAAAUGUAUAACUUAAAAAGGUGAA